This 175-nucleotide unclassified non-coding RNA is filed under the name uncultured fungus. Its description in RNAcentral is "sequence contains ITS1". Lineage: Eukaryota; Fungi. The record is from RNAcentral.
GUAACUAUUAUGUUUUUUCAGACGCUGAUUGCAACUGCAAAGGGUUUGAAUGUUGUCCAAUCGGCGGGCGGACCCGCCGAGGAAACGAAGGUACUCAAAAGACAUGGGUAAGAGGUAGCAGACCGAAGUCUACAAACUCUAGGUAAUGAUCCUUCCGCAGGUUCACCUACGGAAA